GUGCUCGCCUCGGCAGCACAUAUACUAAAAUUGGAACAAUGCAGAGAAGAUUAGCAAGGUCCCUGCACAAGUAUGACACGCAAAUUUAUGAAGCAGUCUAUAUUUAA
Suncus etruscus (white-toothed pygmy shrew) is the source of this 107-nucleotide small nuclear RNA. Lineage: Eukaryota; Metazoa; Chordata; Mammalia; Eulipotyphla; Soricidae. The record is from RefSeq and is a predicted model, not a curated record.